UACAGAGGGUGCGAGCGUUAAUCGGAAUUACUGGGCGUAAAGCGUGCGUAGACGGUUACAUAAGUCAGAUGUGAAAGCCCCGGGCUCAACCUGGGAAUUGCAUUUGAGACUGUGUAGCUAGGGUGCGGAAGAGGGAAGCGGAAUUUCCGGUGUAGCGGUGAAAUGCGUAGAUAUCGGAAGGAACACCAGUGGCGAAAGCGGCUUCCUGGUCCAGCACCGACGUUCAGGCACGAAAGCGUGGGGAGCAAACAGG
Molecule: ribosomal RNA, 253 nt
Filed under: uncultured bacterium
Lineage: Bacteria
Description: partial 16S ribosomal RNA
Rfam family: Bacterial small subunit ribosomal RNA
Source: RNAcentral